AUGCCGGAACCAAUCAACGUAACAGUAACUACAAUGGAUGCUGAGCUGGAAAUUUGCCAUUCAGCCCAAAACAACUGGCAAACAACUUUUUGACCAUGUGGUGAAAAUAGUUGGUUUGCGCGAGGUCUGGUUUUUGGGGCUGCAGUAUGUAGACAGCAGAGGUUAUUCUACAUGGCUUCAACUAAAUAAAAAGGUGACGCAGCAAGAUGUUAAAAAAGAGAAGGAUCCUUUACAGUUCAAGUUUAGAGCUAAAUUCUUUCCUGAAGAUGUUUCUGAGGAAUUAAUUCAAGAAAUAACCCAGAGACUCUUCUUCUUGCAAGUUAAAGAAGCCAUCUUAAAGGAUGAGAUAUAUUGUCCGACAGAAACUGCAGUUCUUCUGGCUUCCUAUGCUGUUCAAGCCAAGUAUGGAGAUUAUAACAAAGAAAUUCAUAACCCAGGCUACCUGGCUAAUGAUAGACUCCUACCCCAACGUAUUGGAACAACACAAACUAACAAGAACAGUGGGAAGAAAGAAUACAGAACUGGCAUGAAAAACAUAGAGGAAUACAAAGGGAGGGUUCUAUGAUGGACUACCUGAAGAUUGCACAAGAUCUAGAAAUGUAUGGAGUCAAGUAUUUUGAAAUAAAAAAAAGGAAACUGAAUUGUGCCUAGGUGUUGAUGCUUUGGGUCUGAAUAUUUAUGAGCAUGAUGACAAGUUAACACCUAAAACUGGUUUUCCGUGGAGUGAAAUCAGAAAUGUUUCAUUUAAUGACAAAAAAUUUGUUAUAAAGCCAAUCAAUAAAAAGCCACCUGAUUUUGGUUUUUAUGCCCCUCACCUGAGAGUCAAUAAGCAGAUUUUGGCCUUAUGUAUGGGAAACCACGAACUAUACAUGCGAAGAAGGAAGCCUGAUACUAUUGAAGUAUGACAGAUGAGGGCUCAGGCUAGGGAGGAGAAACAUCAGAAGCAGUUGGAGAGGGCACAAUUAGAGAAUAAAAAGAAGAAAAGAGAAAUAGCAGAAAAGGAAAGAAUAGAAUGUGAAAAGGAAGAGCUAAUGGAACGUCUAAAACAAAUAGAAGAACAGACGAUUAAAGCCCAGAAAUAACUAGAAGAACAGACGCAAAAAGCUCUAGAACUGGAUCAAGAAUGAAAACAAGCAAAAGAAGCAGCAGAGUGGCUUGAAAAGGAGCGUCGAGCUGCUGAAGAGGCGAAGUCUGCCAUAGCAAAACAAGCUGCCGACCAGAAGAAUCAGGAGCAGCUAGCAGCAAAACUUGCUCAAUUCACUGCCAAGAUUGUACUUCUAGAAGAAGCCAAGAAGAAAAAGGAAGAGGAAGCUACUGAGUGGCAACACAAAGCUUUUGCAGCCCAGAAGACUUGGAAAAGACCAAAGAAGAGUUAAAAACUGUGAUGUCUGCCCCCCCCUCCACCUCCACCACCACCAACACCAGUCAUUCCUUCGACAGAAAACGAACAUGAUGAACAUGAUGAGAUUAAUGCUAAGGCUGGUGCUGAAUUAUCAAAUGAAGGGGUAAUGAACCAUAGAAGCAAAGAAGAACAUGUAACAGAAACACAGAAAAAUGAGCGUGUUAAGAAGCUACUUCAGGCCUUAAGUUCAGAAUUAGCCCAAGCCAGAGAUGAAAGCAAGGAAACACAAAAGGAUGUUCUUCAGGCUAAGAAUGUUAAAACAGGCCAUGGUAAGUACAAGACUCUGUGACCGAUUCGACAAGGCAACACAAAGCAGCGUAUCAAUGAGUUUGAAGC
This 1738-nucleotide long non-coding RNA is filed under the name Homo sapiens (human). Its description in RNAcentral is "non-protein coding lnc-SSU72P2-2:1". The record is from RNAcentral. Lineage: Eukaryota; Metazoa; Chordata; Mammalia; Primates; Hominidae.